UGGUGUGUUUCCUGCUUGCCUCCCUGUGAGAGGAUAUGGUAGUAAACAAAUUAAAGAGAGUGGGGCCUUCAAGACAAUGCAUAGGCUUGUACUCUUCCAGGGGAAGAUAUUCCGCUUCCGUGCGCUAGCUAGUAAUCCGAUAUUGUUUUUAAUGAACCAACGCCUCUCUUUCCCUUUACUAAAGUCCAACAGCUAACUAGCUCCCAACACUGGCACAUGGUAUACUCCGUG
Molecule: long non-coding RNA, 231 nt
Filed under: Elaeis guineensis (African oil palm)
Lineage: Eukaryota; Viridiplantae; Streptophyta; Magnoliopsida; Arecales; Arecaceae
Description: long non-coding RNA (EGUI_LNC011238)
Source: RNAcentral